Molecule: ribosomal RNA, 498 nt
Filed under: uncultured bacterium
Lineage: Bacteria
Description: bacterial SSU rRNA
Rfam family: Bacterial small subunit ribosomal RNA
Source: RNAcentral
GCAUAAGACGGUGACGUGAAAGCGGGGGCUCUGAGCAAUCAGACCUCGCGCGAUGGGAUGAGCCGACGUCGGAUUAGCUUGUUGGUGGGGUAAAGGCCUACCAAGGCGGCGAUCCGUAGCUGGUCUGAGAGGAUGAUCAGCCACACUGGGACUGAGACACGGCCCAGACUCCUACGGGAGGCAGCAGUGGGGAAUAUUGGACAAUGGGCGCAAGCCUGAUCCAGCAAUGCCGCGUGUGUGAAGAAGGCCUUCGGGUUGUAAAGCACUUUUAUCAGGAACGAAAAGGUGUCGGCGAAUACCCGGCACUGCUGACGGUACCUGAGGAAUAAGCACCGGCUAACUUCGUGCCAGCAGCCGCGGUAAUACGAAGGGUGCAAGCGUUAAUCGGAAUUACUGGGCGUAAAGGGUGUGUAUGUGGCCUGUUAAGUCUGUCGUGAAAGCCCUGGGCUCAACCUGGGAAUGGCGGUGGAUACUGGCGGGCUCGAGUACGUAGAGGUG